This 82-nucleotide transfer RNA is filed under the name Cordylochernes scorpioides. RNAcentral's name for it is "tRNA-Glu". The record is from RNAcentral. Lineage: Eukaryota; Metazoa; Arthropoda; Arachnida; Pseudoscorpiones; Chernetidae.
UGUCCAAUGCGGGAAUCGAACCCGGGUCCUAGUGGUCGAAAACCAAACGGUUUAACCAGCCUUCCACCGACCAUCACAUGAC